CUGAACUACCUGAAAAGAAUCAAUACCCACUGGAUGAGUCAUCACAGCCCAGGCUUCUUCCACAAACACAGCUGGGGAGGGCUGCUUAAUGCAGUGUCCAUUAAGGUUAACGGGCACUUCCAAUAGGGUUUUUUCACGUUUCCCUUGACCAAGUUCAACUCACACUUCAUCCAGACAGCACUUCUCCUUCCUGCCGCCAUGUGAAGAAAGAUGUGCUUGCUUCCCCUUCUGCUAUGAUCAUAAGUUUCUUGAGGCCUCCCCAGCCCUGCAGAACAUCUCACUCUGUUGCCCAGCCUGGAUUGCAGUGACAUGAUCACAGCUCACUACAACCUCAACCUCCCUGGGAUCAAGCUAUCCUCCCAUCUUAGCUUCCCAAGUCAUUGGGACUACAGGGAAUGUGCCGCUGUGCCCAGCCAAACUGGAUCUUCAGUAUGUUUAUGUAACUUUCCGGGAGCAGAGUGUUUUCAGCUUUGGAGCUUCAAUCGAACUUUUGAGACAAGAAGGAAAUAUUUUCCCUUUUCCAAAUUCUUCUUCAUCUCUGACUUAGAGAAUGGCCCAGUCAAUUCCAGGGUCCUUGUCUCCACAAAUGGAAGUGCAAUUUAUGAAAGCUCAAUCCUGCUGCUAUGUGAAAACAUCUACAGUCACAGAGAAGAAAACAAAAUGCUGGGAUGAGACAAAGUACCAGUUACAGCAUGUGACUGAGAAGGAGCAGGCAGCAAUCUUUGCUGUUCUGCAGCCUCCGCUGGUGAUACCCAGGAAAACAGGAUCUGGAGUGGACCUCCAGCAAACUCCAACAGACUGGUGGCAGAGGGGCCUGACUGUGAGGAGGGAAACUAACAAACAGAAAGGAACAACAUCAACAUCAACAAAAAGGACUUCCACAGGCAACCUACAGAAUGGGAGAAAAUUUUUGCAAUCUACUCAUCUGACAAAAGUCUAAUAUCCAGAAUCUACAAAGAACUUAAACAAAUUUAUAAGAAAAAAAUAACCCCAUCAAAAAGUGGGCAAGGGAUAUGAAUGGACACUUUUCAAAAGAAGACAUUUAUGUGGCCAACAAGCAUAUGAAAAAAAGCUCAUCACCACUGGUCAUUAGAGAAAUGCAAAUCAAAACCACAAUGAGAUACCAUCUCAUACCAGUUAGAAUGGUGAUCAUUAAAAAGUCAGGAAAAAACAGAUGCUGGAGAGGAUAUGAAUAAAUAGGAACACUUUUACACUAUUGGUGGGAGUAUAAAUUAGUUCAACCAUUGUGGAAGACAGUGUGGUGAUUCCUCGAGGAUCUAGAACUAGAAAUACCAUUUGACCCAGCAAUCCCAUUACGGGGUAUAUACCCAAAGGAUUAUAAAUCAUUCUACUAUAAAGACACAUGCACACGUAUAUUUAUUGUGACACUGUUCACAAUAGCAAAGACUUGGAACCAACUCAGAUGCCCAUCAAUGAUAGACUGGAUAAAGAAAAUGUGGCACAUAUAUACCAUGGAAUACUAUGGCAGCCAUAAAAAAGGAUGAGUUCAUGUCCUUUGCAGGGACAUAGAUGAAGCUGGAAACCAUCAUUCUCAGCAAACUAACACAAGAACAGAAAAACCAAACACUGCAUUGUAGAGAGCCAGCAAAGGGAUUGUGACCAACUCAGCAUUCCACUGAGACUAUAUGAUCAAACAGCAAACUGUUUAUCAUGAAUGCAGGAUGUGGGCAAACUAACAUCUGCUCCAGCUGCCAGAAGGUUUGCUGAAGGCAAUCACUCCCUGGUGCCAUGCUCCUUAGGGUUAUCUACUGGGACAUCUAGAGCCUAUUCGCAGAAUGCAGUCUUGCAAGCCUGCUGUGAAUCAAACUGCUGACUGACAAUCACCCCCACCUUCUCGUUAUCUCUUUUACCUAAUAAAUACAGAGGGCUGAAAAAGCUCAGGGCCCUUGUUCACUAGAAACAAGGAGCCCCCUGACCCCUUCUUCCAAAUAUACUCUUUUGUCUUUAUCUUUAUUCCUGUGUUCGUCCUCCUUUGUUCAGUCCAACAGGGAUAGGGUCGGUGGCACUGCAUGUUCUCACUCAUAAGUGGGAGUUGAACAAUGAGAAC
RNAcentral lists this long non-coding RNA (2068 nucleotides) under Homo sapiens (human). RNAcentral's name for it is "HSALNT0311001". Lineage: Eukaryota; Metazoa; Chordata; Mammalia; Primates; Hominidae. The record is from RNAcentral.